CCUACGGGAGGCAGCAGUGAGGAAUAUUGGUCAAUGGGCGCGAGCCUGAACCAGCCAAGUCGCGUGAGGGAGGACGGCCCUACGGGUUGUAAACCUCUUUUGCCGGGGAGCAACGGGCGCCACGUGUGGCGUCACUGAGAGUACCCGGAGAAAACGCAUAGGCUAACUCCGUGCCAGCAGCCGCGGUAAUACGGAGGAUGCGAGCGUUACCCGGUUUUUUUGGGUUUAAAGGGUGGGUAGGCGGAUCGUUAAGUCAGUGGUCAAAUUGAGGGGCUCAACCCCUUCCCGCCGUUGAAACUGGCGUUCUUGAGGGGAAGAGAGGUAUGCGGAAUGCGUGGUGUAGCGGUGAAAUGCAUAGAUAUCACGCAGAACCCCGAUUGCGAAGGCAGCAUGCCGGCUUCCGACUGACGCUGAAGCACGAAAGCGUGGGGAUCGAACAGGAUUAGAUACCCCUGUAGUC
Molecule: ribosomal RNA, 460 nt
Filed under: uncultured bacterium
Lineage: Bacteria
Description: partial 16S ribosomal RNA
Rfam family: Bacterial small subunit ribosomal RNA
Source: RNAcentral